GUCCCCAUAGCUCAGUUGGAUAGAGCAACGGCCUUCUAAGCCGUAGGUCAAGCGUUCGAGUCGCUUUGGGGACGCCA
This 77-nucleotide transfer RNA is filed under the name Bacillota bacterium. Its description in RNAcentral is "tRNA-Arg". It matches the Rfam family "tRNA". From Rfam's summary of the family: Transfer RNA (tRNA) molecules are approximately 80 nucleotides in length. Their secondary structure includes four short double-helical elements and three loops (D, anti-codon, and T loops). The record is from RNAcentral. Lineage: Bacteria; Bacillati; Bacillota.